CAGCAGCCGCGGUAAGACGAAGGGGGCUAGCGUUGUUCGGAAUCACUGGGCGUAAAGCGCACGUAGGCGGACUUUUAAGUCAGAGGUGAAAUCCCAAGGCUCAACCUUGGAACUGCCUUUGAUACUGGGAGUCUUGAGUUCGGGAGAGGUGAGUGGAACUGCGAGUGUAGAGGUGAAAUUCGUAGAUAUUCGCAAGAACACCAGUGGCGAAGGCGGCUCACUGGUCCGGUACUGACGCUGAGGUGCGAAAGCGUGGGGAGCAAACAGGAUUAGAUACCCCUGUAGUCCCUGUCUCUUAUAC
Molecule: ribosomal RNA, 301 nt
Filed under: uncultured bacterium
Lineage: Bacteria
Description: partial 16S ribosomal RNA
Rfam family: Bacterial small subunit ribosomal RNA
Source: RNAcentral